Rhinopithecus bieti (black snub-nosed monkey) is the source of this 2912-nucleotide long non-coding RNA. The record is from Ensembl. Lineage: Eukaryota; Metazoa; Chordata; Mammalia; Primates; Cercopithecidae.
AUGGAACAGAGGGAGCCUCCUGCCCAGGGCAAGCGUGUGGAGACCACCAGGGGCCCCAGGGCUAUUGCUCAGCCAAAGGGCCAGCAUCCCACUGAAGAAGAUCAGAAAGAGGCUUCUGAUUCUGUCUCCAGAGCCUUUGAGGUCACUCCUGACGCUGACAUGGCUGUGAAGAGCUGGGUGACAGGCAUUGCUGCCUCCAAGGUUGCUUUGAGAGGAAUAGGUGGGGGAUCAGGAAGAAGCCAGCUGCAGGUCAGAAGGGAGCACUGCCUCCCCGGGGGAGCCCCUGGGGAGGGUCGGACUGGGGGUCCCUAGGGCGGUGCAGGGCUGGAGAGUCAGAGGGAGGCUCAGGAUGGGUGUGGGAGGCUGGGGUCAAAGCUGGGACUGGAGCUCGGCUCUCUAAGACCCUGAGCCCCCCUCCCUCCUUUCCUUGCCUUUUGUCGCCCUCCUGCAGGCAAGGCCUCUGCUAAUGCUGCUUUUUCUCUCCUGUAGCCAUCCAUGGGAGGGAGCUGUGAGACGGCCUGGCAGGACUGGCUCUCACACCCCACAGAGUGAGAAGCUCACCCUGCGCAGGAACAUCCUGGGGCAGCAGGCUCAGCACAUUUUACAUUUUGAAUAUGAACAAAGUAAACUUCAGGGUAAAGAAAAAACACAAAAAUUUGCUGAGCACACAAUGAUUGAGUGUCUGUGGUAUACGUGAUGCUUUGCCAGAACCAGUCUUCAAACCUCAGGGUUCUGGGUCCUUGGAGGCCCAGCUCCAACCCCAACUCACCCAAGCACCCUCCACCCCCAUCACGUACCCCUCACCAGGGCUACCCAGCUUGGGCCAUCUCAGACCACUUGGACUUCCUCCCGAGGCCUCCAGCCCCUCAGGCCUCACACCCUGAGCCCCUCAACCUGGAAACCAGCCACUGGCCUGUACACUAUGGGGGCCCCUGAGGUUUCUACCUCCUGCUACCCUUGGCCUGAAAGGGGUCGGUGGGACCCUGCCCUGGGCCUCUGGGAGGCUGUACCCUUGCUUCUGCCUCAUCCUGUUCUCCAGGGCCCUGUCCCUUUCUUGCUGGGCCCUCCCAGAAUGACCCCACCCCCAGUCACUGCCCUCACUGGCCUAAGUCACCUCCUCCAGGAAGCCUUCCAGACUGAUGGCUCCCAGGCACUGAGCAUCCCCCAACCUUGCUGAGAAUGGUGGAUGCCCACCAUGGGCCCUCGGAAGCCAGAGAACCCUGGGCCUCCCUGCAGGGGCCGCCACAGAGUUUUCCUGCCACUGCAAUUUCAUCCAGGUCAAUCCCUUUCCUGCUUGUGUUUCCCAAGAAUAACUGUGGAACAUGCUGGAAAUGCAACAUCCUGAGAUAGGGAGAACAGCCUGAAGCAGCGAGGGCCUAGUUCCUGUCGCUCCAAGGGAAGGGAACAUCAUGAGUUAGAGAGUGGCCCCCGAAGAAGAAAGCGAGGCAAAAAUCCCUGUAAGUAGAGCUCACCUGGGCCAAGGUGAAGACAACCACUGGGGAGACUCAGAAUUGGAAUAUGAGCUCCCUUCAGCCUUUGUAACAGGCGUUUCUUUGAGACGGAGUCUCCCUCUGUCUCCCAGGCUGCAGUACAAUGGUGGGAUCUGGGCUCACUGCAACCUCCACCUCGCAGGUUCAAGCGAUUCUCCUGUCUCAGCCUGAGUAGCUGGGAUUACAGGCUCACACCAGCAUGUCUGGCUAAUUUUUUUGUAUUUUUAGUAGAGACGGGGUUUCACCGUGUUGACCAGGCUGGUCUGGAAUUCCUGACUUCAAGUAAUCUGCCUGCCUCAGCCUCCCAAGGUGCUACGAUUACAGGCGUGAGCCACCAUGCCUGGCUACAAGCAGGCUUUUAAAGGCAAGCGGGCCAGGUGCAAUGGCUCGUAUCUGUAGUCCCAGCAUUUCGGGAGGCUGAAGCAGGUGUAUCAUUUGAGCUCAGGAGUUUGAGACCAGCCUGGCCAACAUGGUGAAACCCCAUGUCUACCAAAAAUACAAAAAAUUAGCUGGGCAUGGUGGUGCAUGCCUGUAGACCCAGCUACUCAGGAGGAUGAGGCAGGAGGAUCACUUGGGCCUGGGAGGCAGAGGUUGCAGUGAGCCAAGAUCACACCACUGCACUCCAGCCUGGGCAACAGAGCAAGACGCCAUCUCAAAAAAAAAAAACAAAAAAACGUUUAUUUGAAAAAAUUGAAAAAAUAAAAAAGUUUAUUUGAGGCCAGGUGUGGUGGCUCGGACCUGUAAUCCUAGCACUUUGGAAGGCUGACGUGAGAGGAUCACUUGAGCUUCAGAGUUUGGGAUCAGCGUGGGCAACAUAGUGAGACCUCAACUCUAUUUAUUAAAAAUUUUAAAGAAAGAAAAAAAGUUUAUUUGAGCAUUUAUUGCUCAGUGAACCUUCCUAUCACAAGACUGUGGGUGACUGGCACUCCCCGGGAAAGCCAGGGGGACAGUUAUCAAGCCUUUGCAGAAGCAAACCCAGGAAGACAACUCGCCAGUUAGAGUGGAAAGUCUCUCGUUAGGGCUGGGGGUUUCAGGCUGGCGCCAUUUCUGGAUUAAAUGUGAGGUUCCCAUAGGGCAAGGUUUCUUCAUGGAGAAAUUGAAGGACCGGAGCCACCCCAGCCCAAUGGCUUCCCAAAGAGAAUUUUUACAAACAACGUUGUCCUUCCAGUCAGCCUAUCUGUGAUGAGAGAUUGGCCAAAACAUAGGCAUGAGCGCCACUCUCUCACCAUCAUGGGUGGGCGGUAGUUGUCUCAUUCAGGGACUUGAGGUCACAGCGUGAGGCUCUUUUAGGAGAGAUUUCUUUAGUUGUUCAUCUCAUUGUGGUUUCUUCUUUUUUUGAGACAGAAUUUUGCUUUUGUUGCCCAGGCUGGAGUGCAAUGGCACAAUCUCAGCUCACCGCAACCUCCGCCUCCAGGAUUCAAG